GAUGAACGCUGGCGGCGUGCCUAAUACAUGCAAGUCGAGCGAACAGAUAAGGAGCUUGCUCCUUUGACGUUAGCGGCGGACGGGUGAGUAACACGUGGGUAACCUACCUAUAAGACUGGAAUAACUCCGGGAAACCGGGGCUAAUGCCGGAUAACAUUUAGAACCGCAUGGUUCUAAAGUGAAAGAUGGUUUUGCUAUCACUUAUAGAUGGACCCGCGCCGUAUUAGCUGGUUGGUAAGGUAACGGCUUACCAAGGCAACGAUUCGUAGCCAACCUGUGAGGCGGAUAGGCCACAUGGGAACUGAGCCGCGGUCCAUACGCCUACGGGAGGCAGCAGUAGGGAAUCUUCCGCAAUGGUCGAAAGCCUUACGGAGCAACGCCGCGUGAGUUAUGAAGGUCUUCGGAUCGUAAAACUCUGUUAUUAGGGAAGAACAAAUGUGGAAGUAACUGUGCACGUCGUGACGGUACCGAAUCAGAAAGCCACGGCUAACUACGUG
Molecule: ribosomal RNA, 497 nt
Filed under: uncultured bacterium
Lineage: Bacteria
Description: partial 16S ribosomal RNA
Rfam family: Bacterial small subunit ribosomal RNA
Source: RNAcentral